CAAGGCUUGACAUGACAGAAGUAGUGAGCUGAAAGGUGAACAACCUGUUGAGCCAGGAGCUGUCACAGGUGCUGCAUGGCUGUCGUCAGCUCGUGCCGUGAGGUGUUUGGUUAAGUCCUGUAACGAGCGCAACCCCUAUUGCCAGUUGUAUUCUCUGGCGAGACUGCCUCGCAAAACGGGGAGGAAGGUGGGGAUGACGUCAAGUCAGCACGGCCCUUAUGCCUUGGGCUACACACACGCUACAAUGGGUGGUACAAUGGGUUGUAAUAGAGUAAUCUGGAGCUAAUCCUAAAAGCCAUCCUCAGUUCAGAUUGUAGGCUGAAACCCGCCUGCAUGAAGGUGGAGUUGCUAGUAACCGCAGGUCAGCAUACUGCGGUGAAUACGUUCU
This 388-nucleotide ribosomal RNA is filed under the name uncultured bacterium. Its description in RNAcentral is "bacterial SSU rRNA". It matches the Rfam family "Bacterial small subunit ribosomal RNA", at positions 975 to 1374 of the family's 1533-position model. The record is from RNAcentral.